UUUGACGAGGGAUCCUAGCGUUGUUUGGAAUUAUUGGGCGUAAAGCGGAUGUAGGUGGCUUUGUAAGUCAGAUGUGAAAGCCCAGGGCUCAACCCUGGAAGUGCAUUUGAUACUGCGAAGCUUGAGUGUCGGAGAGGUUACUAGAAUUGUUGGUGUAGUGGUGAAAUACGUAGAUAUCAACAGGAAUACCGGAGGCGAAGGCGGGUAACUGGCCGAACACUGACACUGAGAUCCGAAAGCGUGGGGAUCAAACAGGAUUAGAUACCCUGGUAGUCCACGCCGUAAACGAUGGAUACUUGUUGUUGGAGGUAUUGACCCCUUCAGUGACGAAGCUAACGCGUUAAGUAUCCCGCCUGGGGAGUACGGUCGCAAGAUUAAAACUCAAAGAAAUUGACGGGAGCCCGCACAAGCGGUGGAGCAUGUGGUUAAUCGAUGCACCGU
RNAcentral lists this ribosomal RNA (441 nucleotides) under Bdellovibrio bacteriovorus. RNAcentral describes it as "bacterial SSU rRNA". It matches the Rfam family "Bacterial small subunit ribosomal RNA", at positions 521 to 962 of the family's 1533-position model. Lineage: Bacteria; Pseudomonadati; Bdellovibrionota; Bdellovibrionia; Bdellovibrionales; Pseudobdellovibrionaceae. The record is from RNAcentral.